RNAcentral lists this unclassified non-coding RNA (259 nucleotides) under Melitaea cinxia (Glanville fritillary). Its description in RNAcentral is "misc RNA ENSMCXG00005011914.1". Lineage: Eukaryota; Metazoa; Arthropoda; Insecta; Lepidoptera; Nymphalidae. The record is from RNAcentral.
GAAAUUAAUAAACUCUUAAACUGAUUUAUAUCAAAGCAACGGGCAUAUUUCAAGCACUGUUUGUUUCCUAAUACUGGAAAAUGAGAAACAUUCCUGUUGUUUUAGUUCCUCUGUGUAUUGGACUUACUUCCGGAUUUAUUAUUCCCACUGGCUUACACGAGACAUUGUUUAAUAAGACUGACAUUUUUAUUUUCAACUGUAACAAAAUUAAAAAAAGAGAAGUUAAUUCACAAAAUGUAACGUAUAUUAAAUCAAACAC